Molecule: long non-coding RNA, 7619 nt
Filed under: Salvia miltiorrhiza (redroot sage)
Lineage: Eukaryota; Viridiplantae; Streptophyta; Magnoliopsida; Lamiales; Lamiaceae
Description: long non-coding RNA (SMIL_LNC007014)
Source: RNAcentral
GGAGGUGAAGGUCGUUGACCCUACCCUCAAACAUGUUCGCCCAACUUCCAUCCAUUCACACUUGAAUAUUUGCGUACAUGCUAACAUAUAAAAAAGAUGCAAAAUUAACAAAUUUCUCGUCGGAGUCAAUGAAUAACUAUUUUGAUCUUCAAACUAAACUCAACAACGGAUAAUUUAUACUAUAUAAAAAGUCACUACUACAUUUUCAUUUGACGAGGCAAAUAAAAAAAAUCGUUAUUAAUGCUAUUCUCAUUGUCCUCAUUAAAGAUUACUCUUUUUUCAUUUUGAUUUGUCAUGUUAAAACUAAUCUAAUUUAUAAAGAUAAUUGAAAAGGUCUUUAAAAGAUGUGUCCUACCACUUUUAUUCAAUUUAUACUUUUUUUUUAAUUUUGAUUUGAAAAGAAAUAAACAAUUUUUUUUCUUAUGUGUAUUAUUUCACAAAUCACAAAAAAAAUAAUAAUAAUAAUCAACUCUCAAAAUACUAAAAGGUUAAAAAUUUCUAUGAUGAAAUAAUCAACUCUCAAAAUCAAUUAGUAUUAAUUAAAGCACGCGAAAUUUAUUGAAAAAAAAAUUGAAGAAAAUGCGAAAAGUUUAUAGGAGGAACACCAGAAAAAAAAAAAAAAAGAUAGAAAAAAAAGAAUGAUUUUUGUGUAACUCAAGUCUCCCCAAAGAAAGUAAAAUAGUAUUUUUCAUAUUUUAUAUAAUAUUGAUUCAUGCUUUCCCAAUUAUUCUCUAACAUUCAAGGUGACGAUGAAAUGAGAUUUUAUUAAGAAAAGGAAACCAACUAAAACCCUUGAGAGCAUAAGGCGCAGACUAAGGGUCGAGUGUCGUUAAAAUCUCUGAAGGAUAAGAGGAAAAAGAGUACUCGUCUAAGCAAAAAACUGAGAGUGGGGGGAAAGGAGCGGAGGUGGAACUACCUCAGAAGCUCCGGCCGAACCAUUACCUCUAGAUAGCCCCGGCUCAUUCCACCCAAAUAACACAUUAAAAAUAAAUUGCAAAAGCGAGAGCAACAAGCAAAAAAACACAAAGCAUGACAAACCAAAAACCCCCAAAAGAUAAAACAAUGAGGGACUAAAGAGCAACCCAAGGAGUCCGACCGAGAACCGGCCAGAGCCCAGCGCACCGAAGCUCUGAAAAAAGCAGACCCGACACUCCGCACCCAAACCCCAAACCGAACAACUAACAACCAUCAAAAAAUGACCCAUAUAAGUCUUGUGGCUGUCUUUGCGAACCAGCUGUGCAAUUUCAGGCAUAGGCACCGACCAGAAACCAUUGGUAGAAACAUUGGAGGCCAGAUAAUCGCCGACACGAUUGCCCUCCCUAUAAAUGUGUGAAAUACGAACGUAAAAACACAUAAAUUUUAAAAAAAAAUAUAGAUAUUCCCAUUUAACUAGCAAGUGACUUCAAAGUGCAUCAUCAUCAUCAUAAUAAUAAUAGGUGGGAAUUACUAUGUAAAAUUAAAAAGUUGUGGGAAACAUCCGAAAACAAUGUUUACACGCAAUUAAUCCUUUUAGAAUUUGAUUUGAGUUAUACUCCAUUAUCUAUCUGGGCAACAAUUAAUCCUACAUGAACUCUCAAAUUUUAUUAUCUGGCGUUUCAGCCGAUAAUUAAAAUAUUACCUUUUAUGUACAUAAAAAUGACGUUUUCUUUUUCGAAAAUCACGCUCCAUGAAGUCUACCGCUCGCAACAUAACACGAAAGAUUAAAAAAAACGGCAUUUUAUGUUUCAUAAAAAAAACGUUUCAAUUAUCAAUUGAAAUGACACGUAAUAAAAUUUUGACGUCCAUAUAAGAUUAAUAUUAAUUAAUUAAGAUCAAAUUCAAAAAUAUUAAAAGUUUAGUUAUUAAUUGAAAAAAGAAAAGUAUGGUCCAAAAAUCAAAAUUAAUUUUCCAAAACUAGAUACACAUGCAAUUAAAACCUAAUAUUUCCACUUAUAUUAUCAGAAAAAAACAGAUACUAUCAGAAAACAGAGAGAGAUGAGUUUGAAAAAGUCCACAGAAGAAAGUUUUCUUCCUCAGCUUAUUAUAUGCAUAUAUAUAUAUAUAUAUAUAUAUAUAUACACACACACANNNNNNNNNNNNNNNNNNNNNNNNNNNNNNNNNNNNNNNNNNNNNNNNNNNNNNNNNNNNNNNNNNNNNNNNNNNNNCUCUCUUCAUCUUUAUCCCACUUCUCCUCUCCCAUUCAAAUCCUAGAGAGAGAGAUGGGAAACUGCUGGCCCAAACCUGUUGCCAGCAACAGCACCAGACCUCCCAGCCCAGGUAUAUACUAUAUGCACACACACACACACAGAGCCACGGACACGAUCUGAUGAGCGUCCGAUAAAUUUUCUUUUAAUUAAUUUGUUAUAUUUAAUUAGGUUGUAAUUUGAGUUACUAUAUGAAAUUAUGAUUUCGUUCCGUCCCGUCCAAACUUGUAUCCUUUAUCAGUUCAGACGGGCCUCAACAGGAGCAACAGCCCUCCGCCGCCGCGGACUGCGGCGGCGAUUCCACCUAGCGGCCAGAUCAAAACUCCGAAUCUAAAAAUGUUCACCUACGCCGAGCUAAGAAGCGCCACCAGGAAUUUCCGGCCGGAUACGGUGCUCGGAGAGGGAGGUUUCGGAAGAGUUUUCAAAGGCUUCCUCGACGAGAAAACCCUAGCGCCGUCGCGAGUCGGCGUCGGAAUGCCCGUCGCCGUGAAGAAAUCGAAUCCCGACAGCGAACAAGGCCUCAAAGAGUGGCAGGUAACACAUUAAUUAAUUUUUCACGAAAAUAUUAAUAUUUCAUGAUCAUGAGUACAGGUCAAUAUCUAGUUUUUAUCGCUAAUGCAUGUGCUCACGCUAUCAUCAUUUUUAACUAAGUAAAACUAAUCAUUAAUUACGGAACAUACACUACAAGAAAACAAAUGAUUACCAGUGGCGUUUGCCGUCGGUAAUUUCAAGGCGGCCGCCGGAAAACGAACUAACGCCGCCGGAUAACACAAUUACCGACGGCAAAACACACCGCCAGUAAUUACCGGCGGCGGUACCGCCAUUAUAAUUCGUCGGUGAACGGCGGAGAACUACCGGCAUAUUACCGGCGGCAGCUUGUCGCCGGUAAUUACCUGCUGCGAUUUUGCCGCCGGCAAUCUUCACCGAAGGGCGGUGGUGUUUUCCGCCGGAUACUGUGUCCGCCGGUAAUUGUUUUUGAAAUUUAUUUAUUUAUAUAUAUUUUUAUUUAUUUUAUUUAUUUAUUUAUUUCAUAAGUUAGACGAACUUUUCAGUCGGUCACUCAUCUUAGUUGUGCUCUAAGUCAAGCAUGCUUAACUUUGAAGUUACUUUUGAAUGAUCACCAGUACAGAACACUCGUAUUAUUGAUAUAUAUAGUAUCUAUUAAUUCAUUUAAAGUAAUUAAAUUUAAAACAAUCAUUCAUUGGACCGCCGGUAAUUGCCGGCGGUAGCUCUGCCGCCGGUAUUUCGGCGUUUUUUUGUGGUGAUAUAGCAUGUAAUUUGCAUGUAACAUGUGCUGCUUAAUUAUGUAUAAUUAAACGGCAAUUAGUAGUAAUUUCAUAUGAUGAUUGCAGUUAUAAUAUAAAGAUGGUAUGUGAAUUAGGCCUGCAAUUUCUUCAUCGAAAAGUCAACAGCCAAACUUCCUACGUGUUUCAUUAAAUACGCAGUUUGAUUACAUUGACCCAUUAAUACUUUUAAAAUAGUUUUCCUUCUUCCCAAUCCAGAUAUUUUUCGAGUAAAUUAAUAGUACUACAUGUUUUGAAAUUUUUCUAUGAUUAUCUUGACUUUUUAAGUAUAUAUUAAUUAUUUUCUAUUGGUGCAGGCGGAGGUAAAAUUCUUGGGAAAAUUCAGCCAUCCAAAUCUUGUGAAAUUGUUGGGUUAUUGUUGGGAGGAAAGGCAGUUUCUCCUUGUCUAUGAAUACAUGCAGCGAGGAAGCUUAGAAAGUCACCUAUUCAGAAGUAAUAAUCCACUAGCCUAUCUGGUUUUCAUUUUUGAUUAGUACAUUGUUUUUUUUUUUUNCCAAGAAAAUAGUUACAUGAAAAAAUUAAAAUAGUUAUAUAUAUUUGAUUAAAUUAUGAUUUUUAGAGAUUGAUUAAUUACUGUUUACAGAGGGAGGCGAGCUAAUUCCCUGGGAUAUUAGGAUUAAAAUAGCCACCGGAGCAGCUCGAGGAUUAGCAGUCUUGCACACUACUGAAAAAACAGUAAUCUAUAGAGAUUUCAAGGCCUCAAACAUAUUACUCGAUAAGGUAAUUAAUACUCACAGCAUUUUAUAUAUGCUUGAUUUAAUUCGAGUUCUAUGAAAAUGAAUCUAUAUACGCACGACGACCUUUUUUUAUUUGAUAGUAUUACAUUUCUGAUUAGCCCAUGUUUCUUAUUUUUAGGAUUUCAAUGCAAAGCUUUCCGAUUUUGGACUUGCUAAAUUAGGUCCAGUCGAUGGCAAUUCUCACGUAACAACUAAGGUUGUUGGCACCUAUGGCUACGCUGCCCCUGAGUAUAUAGCUACAGGUAGCUACAUUUUAUCAAAUACUCCACUAAUUAAUUAACAGUUUUUAAAAUUAAAAUUAAUUACUAUUCAUAAUUGCUUGCAGGCCAUUUGUACGUGAAGAGUGACGUGUAUGGUUUUGGGGUGGUAUUGUUGGAAAUAAUAACGGGCUUGCGGGUUCUCGACCCGAACCGGCCCAGCGGGCAGCUUAAUUUGGUGGAUUGGGCCCGACCGUCCCUACCCGACAAAAAGAAGCUCAAAAAAUUAAUGGAUCCACGUCUGCAAGAAGAGUACCCACCAAACGCUGCAUGUGCAACAGCCGAGCUCAUACUAAAAUGUCUCGAGCCCGACCCGAAAUGCCGGCCCGAUAUGGAGGCUGUUUUGCAGAGUUUGGAAGAGAUUAGCCACAUUCAAAUGAAGCCCAAGAAACAAAGAGGCGAGCCGAAGCAAGGCCCACAACACCACCACCAGCUGCCGUUGCCCCACCAUGCCUACCGCGGAAGUGGCGGAGGUAGGGGUGGCGCCGCCGGGCAUCGGCAACAUAAUGCCCGUAGUUAAUUACUAACGGAUUUUGAUGUUGUUGGGCGUAUAAAUAACAUAGGCCCACAUUUUUUUUAUGCCCGAAUUGGAGGCCUAGUAUUAGACGUUGUGCUACUUGUAGGAAAUAUAUAUGUGUAUAAUCAAUGUCGAUGUUGUGUUGUUUUGGUUAUUGGAUAGUGUGAUAUCCUAUUAUUUCUCUACAUUUGAUUUUGCACCCAAUUGUCCAAACAACAUGAAUAAUUUAAGGAAGCGAAUUCGCUUGGAAACUACGUAUGGGUUGAGGCCCAUAAACAAAUUACUACUUAAUGAGAUGUAUCUCGUAAUAAUAUGUUUAUAUCUGAGGUUCUAGUAAUGAGUUAAAAUAAUUUUUUUUUAAAUAUAAAUUAAAAAUUAAGUUUAGCACUUAGAUCAUGAAGGGAGCAAAAAAAAAUUAACUUCAUUCCUUUAUACAGGAAAUUUAUACACAUUCCACAUUAAAUUCGUGAGUUCAUAAUUUAUAUUUUAAAACGAAUUUAUGAACAAACCCACCCCUGAGGUUCUUCUAUACAACACAUAAUAUUUGUGAAUUUAGAUCAAAUUCUUAGUUAAUGUAAUUUUGUUUAGGUAUAAAUCAUUAAAGCUAGUUAAAAUAAUGAUGUAUUUUACAUGGUGGUCAUUUUAACUUGGGGUUCAAUCCCACUUGCGAGCGGUGUAGUUUUUUUUAUUUUUGUGCAUGGAUAGUGUUUUCAUUUUUGUGUGGAUAGUGGUUCCACCUGUUUGAAACUAUUUCCCACAUUUUGUGGUGCAGAGGUACUGUUUGCGUGAAAAUUACUUAUUUAAUUAUGUUUAAAUAUCUUUUGUAAUUCUAAUUAGAAAAAAAUAGAAAGUAAAGACAUUUAAUAGACAGAAGUAGAUAAGAAGGUAACACACAUAAACCGCAUUACAAUAAAAAGGCCAAAUGUGUCCAAGCACAUAGAUAUUACAACACGCAAUAAACUUUACAGAAGUAAAAAGAAAUUACGAUGGACGAUAAUUGUAGUUGGAAACACCCGAUUAUGUUUACACCACUUAUUACUUCAUCAAAACAUAUAGGAAUAGGAGUAUAUGCUUUGUUGCUUCCUUCACAUGGUUGGCCUCACAUUCAGACGGGACGCCAGUUUCUGACCAAGGGACUUGUCGACCUGCGCCGCAAUUAACGCUAAUUAAUAUACUCCAAAUAAUUAAAUACACAUAUAGAUAUAAUUAAGAUUAAAGUUGGUACCUGAGUCCACCACGAUAUCCAAAUAGCACGUAUCUCGUGGGUGAGACGGGGAUCCGAUAACGCAUCAACCCAUCGCUUCACAAAUCUGUCUUGCCUGUCUGGUGCCCAUGAACGGUAUCUGACUCCGGGUUCCUUGAAGUUAUUCUCCUUAUCGAUGCACACCCUUUCACGUCUCCCGGUUAUGACGGCGGUGGGAAUGGGGUGCUUCUCGGCAUGGCGGCAAGGGUCAUACUUGGAGGGGAAAUAAUUCACCUCCUCAUCCCUAUGCAUGAAGUUCAUGAAGCCAUCAUGGUGGUUGUUGCGAUGGGGGCAUUUCGGGCAUUCACCGGCAGCAUCAGGUGGUUGGGCCCAAGCCUAUGGCGCUGCGUGUCUCCAUACGCAAAAGUCCGGCAUUGAAGCAUCUUGUCGUUGGAGAAGUAAAUCCCGGGCACGAUGACGGAGGGAUUGAAGGCCAGCUGCUCAUUCUCCGUGAAGAAAUUGUCAAUGUUCUUGUUGAGCACCAUCCUCCCCACGGGCUGCAGGGCAGGAUGUCCUCCGGCCACGUCAGCGUCACGUCCAGCGGGUCGAAGUCGAACUUGUCCUCGUCCGCCGGGUCCAUGAUCUGGAUGAACAGCUUCCACUCGGGGAAGUUGCCGGCGGUGAUGGAGUCGUACAGAUCCUUGGUGGCGUGGCUGUGGUUGGCGCCGCCGAUCACCUUGGCCUCCUCGUCCGAGAGGCACUUGAUGCCGCAGGUGGGCUUCCAGUGGAACUUCACGUAGUUGACCUUGCCGGCCUUGUUGAUGAGGGUGAAGGUGUGCACGCCGAAGCCCUCCAUGUGCCGGUAGUCCUGCGGGAUGCCGUAGUCGUCGAAGAAGAAGGUGAAGGUGUUGAGGCUCUCCGGGAUGUGGGAGAAGAAGUCCAGGUAACGCCAUGUUUCCUGGAUGUGGGAUUUCGGGUUCGGUUUCAUCGCGUGGAUCAGGUCCGGGAACUUCAUCCCGUCCCGGAUGAAGAACACCGGGAUGUUGUUUCCCACCAUGUCGAAGUUUCCCUAAUCAAUAAAUUAAACAAACACCAAUUUGGUCAUUGUUGAGCUAUUUUUUAAUUUUUCUUUUUAGCAAAUCAUUUGAGCUAAUAUGUACCUCUCUGGUGUAGAAUUUGAUGGCGAAACCCCGAGGGUCCCGAAGGGUUUCGGGGCUGCCGCGUUCGUGGAUGACGGUGGAGAAGCGGAUGAUGAGCGGGGUUUGAACGCCCGGUGCUCGGAGGAAAUCGGCGCAAGUGAGGUGAGAGAUGUCAUGAGUGACCUCGAAGAAUCCCUUGGCGCUCGCACCUCUCGCGUGGACAACACGCUCCGGGAUCCUCUCCCGGGCGAAGUUAGCAACUUUCUCUACCAAAUGGUAGUCCUCCAGGAGGAUGGGGC